This 82-nucleotide transfer RNA is filed under the name Marchantia polymorpha (common liverwort). Its description in RNAcentral is "tRNA-Ser". It matches the Rfam family "tRNA". From Rfam's summary of the family: Transfer RNA (tRNA) molecules are approximately 80 nucleotides in length. Lineage: Eukaryota; Viridiplantae; Streptophyta; Marchantiopsida; Marchantiales; Marchantiaceae. The record is from RNAcentral.
GUGGCCGUGCCGGAGUGGUUACCGGGCAUGACUAGAAAUCAUGUGGACUUUGCCCGCGCAGGUCCAAGUCCUGCCGGUCACG